UACGUAGGGUGCAAGCGUUAAUCGGAAUUACUGGGCGUAAAGGGCGCGUAGGCGGCCACCGCAAGUCGACUGUGAAAUCUCUGGGCUUAACCCAGAACGGUCAGCCGAUACUGCGGGGCUAGAGUGCAGAAGGGGCAACUGGAAUUCUCGGUGUAGCGGUGAAAUGCGUAGAUAUCGAGAGGAACACCUGCGGCGAAGGCGGGUUGCUGGGCUGACACUGACGCUGAGGCGCGAAAGCUAGGGGAGCGAACGGG
This 254-nucleotide ribosomal RNA is filed under the name uncultured bacterium. Its description in RNAcentral is "partial 16S ribosomal RNA". It matches the Rfam family "Bacterial small subunit ribosomal RNA", at positions 524 to 776 of the family's 1533-position model. The record is from RNAcentral.